Molecule: ribosomal RNA, 497 nt
Filed under: uncultured bacterium
Lineage: Bacteria
Description: partial 16S ribosomal RNA
Rfam family: Bacterial small subunit ribosomal RNA
Source: RNAcentral
GACGAACGCUGGCGGCGUGCCUAAUACAUGCAAGUUGAGCGAUGAAGAUUGGUGCUUGCACCAAUUUGAAGAGCAGCGAACGGGUGAGUAACGCGUGGGGAAUCUGCCUUUGAGCGGGGGACAACAUUUGGAAACGAAUGCUAAUACCGCAUAACAACUUUAAACAUAAGUUUUAAGUUUGAAAGAUGCAAUUGCAUCACUCAAAGAUGAUCCCGCGUUGUAUUAGCUAGUUUGUGAGGUAAAGGCUCACCAAGGCGAUGAUACAUAGCCGACCUGAGAGGGUGGUCGGCCACAUUGGGACCGAGACACGGCCCAAACUCCUACGGGAGGCAGCAGUAGGGAAUCUUCGGCAAUGGACGAAAGUCUGACCGAGCAACGCCGCGUGAGUGAAGAAGGUUUUCGGAUCGUAAAACUCUGUUGGUAGAGAAGAACGUUGGUGAGAGUGGAAAGCUCAUCAAGUGACGGUAACUACCCAGAAAGGGACGGCUAACUACGUG